UAGGGAAUCUUCCGCAAUGGGCGAAAGCCUGACGGAGCAACGCCGCGUGAGUGAUGAAGGUCUUCGGAUCGUAAAACUCUGUUAUUAGGGAAGAACAAAUGUGUAUGUAACUAUGCACGUCUUGACGGUACCUAAUCAGAAAGCCACGGCUAACUACGUGCCAGCAGCCGCGGUAAUACGUAGGUGGCAAGCGUUAUCCGGAAUUAUCGGGCGUAAAGCGCGCGUAGGCGGUUUUUUAAGUCUGAUGUGAAAGCCCACGGCUCAACCGUGGAGGGUCAUUGGAAACUGGAAGACUUGAGUGCAGAAGAGGAAGGUGGAAUUCCAUGUGUAGCGGUGAAAUGCGCAGAGAUAUGGAGGAACACCAGUGGCGAAGGCGACUUUCUGGUCUGUAACUGACGCUGAUGUGCGAAAGCGGGGGGAUCAAACAGG
RNAcentral lists this ribosomal RNA (429 nucleotides) under Actinomycetes bacterium. RNAcentral's name for it is "Actinobacteria bacterium partial 16S ribosomal RNA". It matches the Rfam family "Bacterial small subunit ribosomal RNA", at positions 355 to 776 of the family's 1533-position model. Lineage: Bacteria; Bacillati; Actinomycetota; Actinomycetes. The record is from RNAcentral.